RNAcentral lists this ribosomal RNA (443 nucleotides) under uncultured Bradyrhizobium sp. Its description in RNAcentral is "bacterial SSU rRNA". It matches the Rfam family "Bacterial small subunit ribosomal RNA", at positions 335 to 795 of the family's 1533-position model. The record is from RNAcentral. Lineage: Bacteria; Pseudomonadati; Pseudomonadota; Alphaproteobacteria; Hyphomicrobiales; Nitrobacteraceae.
UUACCUACGGGAGGCAGCAGUGGGGAAUAUUGGACAAUGGGGGCAACCCUGAUCCAGCCAUGCCGCGUGAGUGAUGAAGGCCCUAGGGUUGUAAAGCUCUUUUGUGCGGGAAGAUAAUGACGGUACCGCAAGAAUAAGCCCCGGCUAACUUCGUGCCAGCAGCCGCGGUAAUACGAAGGGGGCUAGCGUUGCUCGGAAUCACUGGGCGUAAAGGGUGCGUAGGCGGGUUUUUAAGUCAGGGGUGAAAUCCUGGAGCUCAACUCCAGAACUGCCUUGGAUACUGAAGAUCUUGAGUCCGGGAGAGGUGAGUGGAACUGCGAGUGUAGAGGUGAAAUUCGUAGAUAUUCGCAAGAACACCAGUGGCGAAGGCGGCUCACUGGCCCGGUACUGACGCUGAGGCACGAAAGCGUGGGGAGCAAACAGGAUUAGAUACCCCAGUAGUC